Molecule: non-coding RNA, 103 nt
Organism: Cicer arietinum (chickpea)
Lineage: Eukaryota; Viridiplantae; Streptophyta; Magnoliopsida; Fabales; Fabaceae
Source: Rfam
AGUAUUCGCGAUGAAGAUAGACAAGCUCCCUCUUCUGAUAAUUAUAGUUGAGGAAAUUUGCUGGCUGAAUCGAACCUUAAAUCUUAUUGCCAUCACUGAGUGA